UUUAAAUGGCCGCAGUAUAUUAACUGUGCAAAGGUAGCAUAAUCAUUAGUCUUUUAAUUGAAGGCUGGUAUGAAUGGUUGGACGAAAUAUUAACUGUUUCAUAAUAAUUUAUAAUAAAAUUUUAUUUUUUAGUUAAAAAGCUAAAAUUUAUUUAAAAGACGAGAAGACCCUAUAAAUCUUUAUAUUUAAUUUAUUAUUAUUGUUUAGAAUAUUUUUGUAAUUAUAUUAAUAAUAUUUUAUUGGGGUGAUAUUAAAAUUUAAUAAACUUUUAAUUUUUAAAUACAUUAAUUUAUGUUUAAUUGAUCCAUUAUUAUUGAUUAAAAAUUUAAGUUACUUUAGGGAUAACAGCAUAAUUUUUUUGGAGAGUUCUUAUCGAAAAAAAAGAUUGUGACCUCGAUGUUGGAUUAAGAUAUAAUUUUAGGUGUAGUUGCUUAAAUUUUAAGUCUGUUCGACUUUUAA
Molecule: ribosomal RNA, 459 nt
Filed under: Pygophora nitidiventris
Lineage: Eukaryota; Metazoa; Arthropoda; Insecta; Diptera; Muscidae
Description: partial 16S ribosomal RNA
Rfam family: Bacterial large subunit ribosomal RNA (bases 341-459)
Source: RNAcentral